Molecule: ribosomal RNA, 463 nt
Filed under: uncultured bacterium
Lineage: Bacteria
Description: SSU rRNA
Rfam family: Bacterial small subunit ribosomal RNA
Source: RNAcentral
AGAACGAACGCUGGCGGCAUGCCUAACACAUGCAAGUCGAACGCUUUUGGGGCUUCGGUCCCAAAGGAGUGGCGCACGGGUGAGUAGCGCGUGGGAACCUGCCCUGUUGUGGGGGAUAACCGAGGGAAACUUCGGCUAAUACCGCAUACGCCCGGGGGAAACUCCGGGGAAAGAUUUAUCGCAGCAGGAGGGGCCCGCGUCGGAUUAGGUAGUUGGUGGGGUAACGGCCCACCAAGCCUGUGAUCCGUAGCUGGUCUGAGAGGAUGAUCAGCCACACUGGGACUGAGACACGGCCCAGACUCCUACGGGAGGCAGCAGUGGGGAAUAUUGGACAAUGGGCGCAAGCCUGAUCCAGCAAUGCCGCGUGAGUGAUGAAGGCCUUCGGGUUGUAAAGCUCUUUCGCACGCGACGAUGAUGACGGUAGCGUGAGAAGAGCCCCGGCUAACUUCGUGCCAGCAGCCGC